Molecule: ribosomal RNA, 755 nt
Filed under: Pseudomonas gessardii
Lineage: Bacteria; Pseudomonadati; Pseudomonadota; Gammaproteobacteria; Pseudomonadales; Pseudomonadaceae
Description: bacterial SSU rRNA
Rfam family: Bacterial small subunit ribosomal RNA
Source: RNAcentral
CAUGCAGUCGAGCGGUAGAGAGAAGCUUGCUUCUCUUGAGAGCGGCGGACGGGUGAGUAAUGCCUAGGAAUCUGCCUGGUAGUGGGGGAUAACGUUCGGAAACGGACGCUAAUACCGCAUACGUCCUACGGGAGAAAGCAGGGGACCUUCGGGCCUUGCGCUAUCAGAUGAGCCUAGGUCGGAUUAGCUAGUUGGUGAGGUAAUGGCUCACCAAGGCGACGAUCCGUAACUGGUCUGAGAGGAUGAUCAGUCACACUGGAACUGAGACACGGUCCAGACUCCUACGGGAGGCAGCAGUGGGGAAUAUUGGACAAUGGGCGAAAGCCUGAUCCAGCCAUGCCGCGUGUGUGAAGAAGGUCUUCGGAUUGUAAAGCACUUUAAGUUGGGAGGAAGGGUUGUAGAUUAAUACUCUGCAAUUUUGACGUUACCGACAGAAUAAGCACCGGCUAACUCUGUGCCAGCAGCCGCGGUAAUACAGAGGGUGCAAGCGUUAAUCGGAAUUACUGGGCGUAAAGCGCGCGUAGGUGGUUUGUUAAGUUGGAUGUGAAAUCCCCGGGCUCAACCUGGGAACUGCAUUCAAAACUGACUGACUAGAGUAUGGUAGAGGGUGGUGGAAUUUCCUGUGUAGCGGUGAAAUGCGUAGAUAUAGGAAGGAACACCAGUGGCGAAGGCGACCACCUGGACUAAUACUGACACUGAGGUGCGAAAGCGUGGGGAGCAAACAGGAUUAGAUACCCUGGUAGUCCACGCCGUAA